This is a long non-coding RNA of Anopheles gambiae (African malaria mosquito), 2171 nucleotides long. RefSeq lists it as uncharacterized. The record is from RefSeq and is a predicted model, not a curated record. Lineage: Eukaryota; Metazoa; Arthropoda; Insecta; Diptera; Culicidae. The transcript is spliced from 2 exons.
GAACGUAACAAGCAAGGUCCAUUGAGGAUAGAGGUCGAAUUAUAGCUUGUUUCUGGUCUGACAUUUUGAAUCCUGUUUUGACAGUUCAGUAAGAAAGUGUUUACAAAUAAUUGCAGCAGAUGGGUGCUGUUCUUUUAGCUCGCAUUUUUUAGUUCAAAUACAGAAAAAACAUGUGAAAUAAUACAAAUCUUCCCUGCUUUCCAUUGGCCUGCUUACGAUUGAGCCCAUCGCCGUUGAAUGGCCGGGACUACUAUUAUUUUAUCAGGAGGCUCGAUGCCUUCAGCGUCCAUCAAUGCAGGCAUCCGAUCACCGACAGACCCUGCUUAGCCUGAUUCCGGAUCCACCUAGUACCAAACACAGGACCGACCACUUUCUUGGAGGGCAUUACUACGGCAUUUUCAUUACAUGCCCCAGCCAUCGUAUCAUAGGCCCUGACUACCGUUAGGAUAUCCGAUUCACCGUACACCUCAGAAAGCGUAGCAUUGUUGAUUUGUAUGGCAUUAGUUAUACCUAAAAAUUGGAAGCAGUUUGUAAUCAGGAUAAUGGUUUACCUUCCGCAAGAGUGUCAGGAACCACUUACAGUCAAGCGGUGAAUUGUGCCAUAUGCUUAUCAUUAACCUCGAAAAUUUUACUGACAGCGUAUAAUGGUUAACAACUGCGCGUAGCUGUAAGUUUAUACCGGUUUUAAAUUAUUUUCUAAUUUAUGAUUCCAUACGUGGCCACGUUAGGAAGAUUUGCCCAGGAAGGAACAAACUGCUUAGAUAUAUUGGCAAAAACUGGUGCGUUUUAGCUCAUCUUGAGAAUAGGAAACAAGAAGUAUGCAAAAUAAUGCAUUUCUAUGAGAUACUCAUCGUAACCAGUGGCGGAUCUACCGGUAGACGGACUAGGCGGUCGCCUGGGGCCCGCCGAUUUAGGGGACCCGUAGUUCUGAAGUCUAUAGUAUGCCGUAUGGACAGAGUAAUAGCGGCAAUGGCCCCCGGAAGGAUGGACGUUGUGGCCCCAAGGCUGGCAAAUCAUUUUCACCCUCCCCCCCCCCCCUCCACUGUCAGCAAAUUUUAGAGCCUGUGACUGAUUAUCGACUGACCCCCUAGAACACCAUUUACAAUUGACAGGGGGCCUCAACUAGUCUUACCGCCUAGGGCCCCCGACACCCUUAAUCCGAGCCACUGAUCGUAACACCUUAAUUUUGGAUCUUCCAUUACUUACUUACUUACUCUUUAACAAAAUGGUAAUUUUUCGGAUGAGUGAGUGAGAAAAUACAGUUGGUGAACGGGUAAAGUUUCUUGAUUGUUUUUGCUUUAUUUGUACAUUUCAGUGUAUUGGUAACACAAUGCACUUUCAUGCAUUAAAUAACAAUUUAAAAAGUUCUCAUGUUUUAUUACCGUAUUAUUCUAAAUAAUUUCUAAUACAGCGGAAUACCUUACGUGCUAGCGUUUUUACAUGUUUUAAUUCAGUGUUUUACAUCAGUGCGAAAUCCUAAAAUAUACUGACAAACCUUAACAAGUGAUUUACGAUUAUAGAUCAUAUUGUUGUUACAAAAUGGUUAUUUAUACAUGAAAAUGAGGUAAUGUGGACUAUUUUACAUAUUUGCUAUAGUACAUUUCAAAAUAUUACGGGUUAUUAAAGCAAAAAAUCAAUAGUUCAUUACAAUAAUACAGAAUAAAAAAAUAAUACGUGGAAUACGGCAGGUCCGUUCUUAUUAAAUAUAAAAGAGCAUAUCAGUAUUUUCUUACUACAACGAUUCAUCAUGAUCUAUUUAAAUAUACCUAAUUGAGAACCCCAUGAAGACCAUUGUAGUGUGAUGUAAUUAAUUCUGGGGCAUUGCAGACGAUGAAAUGAAAGCAAACUAGAUCUAUUCGGCGUUAUGAAUCUUCUUGUACAUCUUCUAAUCUUUUGGGGAGUACGAUAGAUACGGGCUUAAACACAUGACGGGUAUGUUCUUGACUGUACCACCAGACUGUCCCAAAAAAUGCACGAUAAAUCACUCAUUCAAACAUUUACAAGUAUUAGGACUGAAACAUUGAAUCAAAAACCGGUAGCCAAUUACAAAUAACCAAAGAAAAUAUUAUAAAUGGAUGCAGAUUACUACAUAACACAGAUUAAUAAAUAAGCAUCACAUAUGGUAGCCUUCAGAAUAAAAAAAUGAAGUCUGUUUAAUGGAUAAAACGCAA